AGAGCAUCGGUGAUGUUACAUCCAUCUAAACUCAUCCUUGCACUAUGAGGUCACCGGUGAAGAAAAAAUUGGGGGAAUAUGUAGUCUGAGAUGCUC
Molecule: small nucleolar RNA, 96 nt
Organism: Oryza rufipogon (brownbeard rice)
Lineage: Eukaryota; Viridiplantae; Streptophyta; Magnoliopsida; Poales; Poaceae
Rfam family: Small nucleolar RNA snoR26
Source: Rfam